UGGAAACAUCAGAGCGUGUAAAUGUAACAACUCAUCCAACGAUUGCUAACGACUCCAACGAAUUAUCCAUGAUGAAAAUUGAAUUGCGUCAAUUGCAACUAACUCAACGAUUUGUCAUAAUUGUUAAUGUUAUGUAUGCGGUGUUGUUGUUAAUGUUAUUAAAUCGGUUGUAAUUUUUACAAUUUCAUUAUGCUGUGUUGUUGUUAAUGUUAUUAAAUCGGUUGUAAAUUUUGAUAAUUUUCAUUAACUAGUCAACACUUUAUGUAUGAGAUAUGUGCAUUUAUAGGUAUUGAAUGAGAUUUCCGACUAUGUUGCUUCAAAU
This 322-nucleotide long non-coding RNA is filed under the name Panax ginseng (ginseng). Its description in RNAcentral is "long non-coding RNA (PGIN_LNC019088)". The record is from RNAcentral. Lineage: Eukaryota; Viridiplantae; Streptophyta; Magnoliopsida; Apiales; Araliaceae.